Molecule: ribosomal RNA, 254 nt
Filed under: uncultured bacterium
Lineage: Bacteria
Description: partial 16S ribosomal RNA
Rfam family: Bacterial small subunit ribosomal RNA
Source: RNAcentral
CACGUAGGGGGCAAGCGUUGUCCGGAUUUAUUGGGCGUAAAGAGCUCGUAGGCGGUUCGGCAAGUCGGGUGUGAAACCCCCAGGCUCAACCUGGGGACGUCACCCGAUACUGCUGUGACUUGAGUCCGGUAGGGGAGCGUGGAAUUCCUGGUGUAGCGGUGAAAUGCGCAGAUAUCAGGAGGAACACCAGCGGCGAAGGCGGCGCUCUGGGCCGGAACUGACGCUGAGGAGCGAAAGCGUGGGUAGCAAACGGG